AAUAGAUACCCAGGUAGUCCACGCCGUAAACGAUGGAUACUAGGUGUAGGAGGUAUCGACCCCUUCUGUGCCGGAGUUAACACAAUAAGUAUCCCACCUGGGGAGUACGGCCGCAAGGUUGAAACUCAAAGGAAUUGACGGGGGCCCGCACAAGCAGUGGAGUAUGUGGUUUAAUUCGAAGCAACGCGAAGAACCUUACCAGGGCUUGACAUACAGAGGGAUAUGGUAGAGAUACCAUAGCUCUUCGGAGCUUCUGUACAGGUGGUGCAUGGUUGUCGUCAGCUCGUGUCGUGAGAUGUUGGGUUAAGUCCCGCAACGAGCGCAACCCGUGUUGUUAGUUGGCAGCACAAAGGUGGCCACUCUAACGAGACUGCCGGUGACAAAUCGGAGGAAGGUGGGGACGACGUCAAAUCAUCAUGCCCCUUAUGUCCUGGGCUACACACGUACUACAAUGGCUAUUACAGCAGGCAGCGAAGGAAGUAAUCCGGAGCAAAUCCUCAAAAACUAGUCCCAGUUCAGAUUGUGGGCUGCAACUCCG
This 538-nucleotide ribosomal RNA is filed under the name uncultured bacterium. RNAcentral describes it as "bacterial SSU rRNA". It matches the Rfam family "Bacterial small subunit ribosomal RNA", at positions 777 to 1314 of the family's 1533-position model. The record is from RNAcentral.